RNAcentral lists this ribosomal RNA (254 nucleotides) under uncultured bacterium. RNAcentral describes it as "partial 16S ribosomal RNA". It matches the Rfam family "Bacterial small subunit ribosomal RNA", at positions 524 to 776 of the family's 1533-position model. The record is from RNAcentral.
UACGUAGGGUGCAAGCGUUGUCCGGAAUUAUUGGGCGUAAAGAGCUCGUAGGCGGUUUGUCGCGUCUGCUGUGAAAACCCGAGGCUCAACCUCGGGCCUGCAGUGGGUACGGGCAGACUAGAGUGCGGUAGGGGAGAUUGGAAUUCCUGGUGUAGCGGUGGAAUGCGCAGAUAUCGAGGAGGAACACCUGCGGCGAAGGCGGGUUGCUGGGCUGACACUGACGCUGAAGUGCGAAAGCUAGGGGAGCGAACGGG